GUGCAUCGUUGAUCUGCAUUGAUCUGUUUCUUUGGGGUAAGGCCUAGUUUCCCCUGUAAUUAUUUUCUUUUUCUUUUUUUAAUAAUAAUAUGAGCUACAUGUGGAGGACGGGGAAGGAUAGAGCUAAGGUGUUUAAAUUUUGGUAUCGAGUAAUCAAUGUUUAUUCAUUUGUUUUUAAUUAAAGUUGUGUUUUAUUCGAUCGUUAAUUUAUUUUUUU
Molecule: long non-coding RNA, 217 nt
Filed under: Trifolium pratense (red clover)
Lineage: Eukaryota; Viridiplantae; Streptophyta; Magnoliopsida; Fabales; Fabaceae
Description: long non-coding RNA (TPRA_LNC013674)
Source: RNAcentral